GGGGAGUAAUGUCUGGGAAACUGCCUGAUGGAGGGGGAUAACUACUGGAAACGGUAGCUAAUACCGCAUAACGUCGCAAGACCAAAGAGGGGGACCUUCGGGCCUCUUGCCAUCGGAUGUGCCCAGAUGGGAUUAGCUAGUAGGUGGGGUAACGGCUCACCUAGGCGACGAUCCCUAGCUGGUCUGAGAGGAUGACCAGCCACACUGGAACUGAGACACGGUCCAGACUCCUACGGGAGGCAGCAGUGGGGAAUAUUGCACAAUGGGCGCAAGCCUGAUGCAGCCAUGCCGCGUGUAUGAAGAAGGCCUUCGGGUUGUAAAGUACUUUCAGCGGGGAGGAAGGCGAUAAGGUUAAUAACCUUGUCGAUUGACGUUACCCGCAGAAGAAGCACCGGCUAACUCCGUGCCAGCAGCCGCGGUAAUACGGAGGGUGCAAGCGUUAAUCGGAAUUACUGGGCGUAAAGCGCACGCAGGCGGUCUGUCAAGUCGGAUGUGAAAUCCCCGGGCUCAACCUGGGAACUGCAUUCGAAACUGGCAGGCUAAAGUCUUGUAAGAGGGGGGGUAGAAUUCCAGGUGUAGCGGGUGAAAUUCGUAGAGAUCUGGAGGAAUACCGGUGGCGAAGGCGGGCCCCUGGGACAAAGACUGAC
RNAcentral lists this ribosomal RNA (647 nucleotides) under uncultured bacterium. RNAcentral's name for it is "bacterial SSU rRNA". It matches the Rfam family "Bacterial small subunit ribosomal RNA", at positions 105 to 744 of the family's 1533-position model. The record is from RNAcentral.